Molecule: ribosomal RNA, 576 nt
Filed under: Lodderomyces elongisporus
Lineage: Eukaryota; Fungi; Ascomycota; Pichiomycetes; Serinales; Debaryomycetaceae
Description: LSU rRNA
Rfam family: Eukaryotic large subunit ribosomal RNA
Source: RNAcentral
AUUGCCUUAGUAGCGGCGAGUGAAGCGGCAAUAGCUCAAAUUUGAAAUCUGGCACUUUCAGUGUCCGAGUUGUAAUUUGAAGAAGGUAUCUUUGGGUCUAGCUCUUGUCUAUGUUUCUUGGAACAGAACGUCACAGAGGGUGAGAAUCCCGUGCGAUGAGAUGUCUAGAUCUAUGUAAAGUUCCUUCGAAGAGUCGAGUUGUUUGGGAAUGCAGCUCUAAGUGGGUGGUAAAUUCCAUCUAAAGCUAAAUAUUGGCGAGAGACCGAUAGCGAACAAGUACAGUGAUGGAAAGAUGAAAAGAACUUUGAAAAGAGAGUGAAAAAGUACGUGAAAUUGUUGAAAGGGAAGGGCUUGAGAUCAGACUUGGUAUUUUGUAUGUUACUCUCUCGGGGGUGGCCUCUACAGUUUACCGGGCCAGCAUCAGUUUGAGCGGUAGGAGAAUUGCGUAGGAAUGUGGCUCGGCCUCGGUCGAGUGUUAUAGCCUUCGUCGAUACUGCCAGCUUAGACUGAGGACUGCGGCUUCGGCCUAGGAUGUUGGCAUAAUGAUCUUAAGUCGCCCGUCUUGAAACACGGACC